This 353-nucleotide transfer-messenger RNA is filed under the name human gut metagenome. It matches the Rfam family "transfer-messenger RNA". From Rfam's summary of the family: Bacterial tmRNA, also known as 10Sa RNA or SsrA, is named for its dual tRNA and mRNA-like properties. Its role is to liberate the mRNA from a stalled ribosome. The record is from RNAcentral.
GGGGCUGUUUUGUUUCGACAAAGUAAUGAUUUUGUUAAUAGCAAGUAGUAGGGAUACUUUAAAUCCAAAAACGUUAAAUAAACGGAAAACAAAAUAAUUUUGCACCUGCUUUUGCCUAAUUAAGGUAUGCGGUGACUCUUUCUUGACUUUGUUUGCGAGUUAAGGUAAAGGGUUCAUAAAAGUAAACUAUAUCAUUUAUAUGUCUAUAUUAAAUGAUGAAAUUAAUAGACUUAGAAAAACAUUGGAUGUUGGAAAUCCAUAAAUGUUUUUUGAAAAUACAAAACCAACUAAACUUGUAGAAUAUUAAUGAGAUUGUACUUUGGACACGAGCUCAAAACUCGUCAGCUCCACCA